RNAcentral lists this ribosomal RNA (252 nucleotides) under uncultured bacterium. Its description in RNAcentral is "partial 16S ribosomal RNA". It matches the Rfam family "Bacterial small subunit ribosomal RNA", at positions 524 to 776 of the family's 1533-position model. The record is from RNAcentral.
GACGAAGGGGCUAGCGUUGUUCGGAAUCACUGGGCGUAAAGGGAGCGUAGGCGGCGUGGUAAGUCAGAUGUGAAAUCCCGGGGCUCAACCCCGGAACUGCAUCCGAUACUGCCGUGCUAGAGGAUUGGAGAGGUAGCUGGAAUUCUUGGUGUAGCAGUGAAAUGCGUGGAGAUCAAGAGGAACACUCGUGGCGAAAGCGAGCUACUGGACAAUAUCUGACGCUGAGGCUCGAAGGCCAGGGUAGCGAAAGGG